GUGCACGUAGUAGGCGCUUCAGAAAUAAUUGUUGAGUGACUCCUUAGCCGCCCCCUUAAGCUCAUUGCCCCUGACUUGAGUAAGGAGGGAGAUUGAAGAUUGAGAUGCUGAGACUGAGGCCCAGAGAGACUAAAUAAUUUGCCUGAGUGGGUAGUAUGAUCAGCGGUGUCCUACCCAUAUACUAAAGACAUCGAGGAAGAAAAGAAGACCUCUCCUUGGGACUUCCUGUGGUCCUUGAGUAGUUUUCUUUCCCAGGUCUGGAAGGAGGCAACUUUGACACAAAUUCUGCCUUUGGAAGAGUCAGGGCAUCCAUUCGAGCCAGGUGACUACUUGUAGAUACCCAAACAUCAGGAAGAUGUUUAGUCUUCAGCCCUCAUGGAAUGGACUUUUCCAGAUCCUGCUGACUAGUCUUACUGCCAUCAAGAUUGCCAGAUGGAUGACCUGGCUACAUCACCGUACAUCACUCUGUGUGAGGCCUGCUGGGAUUGAUUUCAGUUCAGCCAAAGAAGCAGACCCUGAGAGGCCAGUAGACAGGUUAAGCUGCAAAGGCACCCUGACACCAACCAGUGGUCCUUGGCUGGUUGUUUGUUCUCCUCUGAUAACUGGGACCUUAUUUCUCACCUGUUACCUAUCAUGCAUUUGUUUUCUGUGCUUUCUGUCCUGUUUUGAGCACUUGGCUUUGGGAAAACAGAGGAACCCAAUACUUAUAUGAACUUGAUCCAAAAUUCCAGGUACGCCUUUAAUUGGAUUAAUUGUUGGAUAUUAACCCAUGCCCAUUUAAUCUUAGAGGAAAGGAUACAGGGUGGGUGUGAGGCAUGAUAUCCAGGACCAUUGUGAUUAUAGGUUCACACUCAAUCCUGAAAGCAGAAAAUACACACUUAAUGUUACUGCCCUACGCUGGAAAAAUGAGCCCUCCCAGCUCGUCACAUAUGAUUGGAAAAGGGUUACAAACAUCUCAACACUCACCCCCUCUAUGAUUGCUCUGUGCUGUAAGACCACCUCUGCUGUAUUAUGAGCAAAAUGGGACAGGUAGUCAGGCAAUGGUGUAGUAGACAGGAUGUAACUAUGCCAUGGGAUUACAUAAGAAUGUGACUAUUGGGGAGACAAGGGAACUUUAGAUAAUGUUUACUACUCUGGGAUUUUGUAUCACUGAGGGACUCUUUAGGAUAGCCCCUCAAAGACUUUAUUUUUUGUGCAGUUAACAAGGCACAUUAUUGUUUUCCCCCAAAUUGGCAGGGAUGCUGAGGGACAGGUUGAAUUCUCUUUGGCCAUCAACCCACAGCUAUCAUACCUCUGAGCAUAAGCAUACUUGCUUUUGGUCACUAAUUCCACCUCUAGUAGGAGACACAGAGAGUAUCUUUGUAACUGUAUUCCCGAUGUACAGCACUGCCUGUAGCAUUACUUUCCUAAACAGAAUGAACAGAUUUUUGCAAAUCUUUCAGUGAGAUCAUAGAUGCUGUGGAGGAGCUUAAUACUGAGGUGCAUGCACUUAGGGCCAUGGCCUUACAAAAUAGAGUAGCUCUACACUUCCUCCUGGCAGAGAGAGGAGGUGUAUGUGCUGUCAAAGGUGAUGCACCUGGGUUUCUGAUGAUUUCAACAGCAUUCAUACCCACUUGGACUGGGUUUGGAAAGUCUGGAAUAAAUUCUAGGCAGAUAAGAAGGCACCAUGGUCUCCAUGGAAGAGGCUAACAUCAUGGCUCCCCAAUUUUUCAUGGCUAACAUAUUUGUUUGUAGGUUUUCUAUAGGUUUUCCUUGUAAGUAUCAUUUGCUGUGUGUGCUUACAGCAUCUACCCUGUAUUAAGGAAGUACUCCCAAGGCAAACCCCAAAAUUACUAGCAUUUGAGAUUAAGAUGAUGGAGUUGGGGACAGAGGAGUGAUAUAGAUCCAAUUAUGGGGCUGCACCAUGAGUAUGAUUUGCACCAAAGGUGAACUUUUGCAAAGGUAGCCUAAGUGACUCAUGUUAUAAUCUCUCUUGACCUUUGGAUACAUGCCCAAUUGGUCUGUGGGGGUCUGGAGAUGCCCUUGGGUGUGCAUAUUUCAACAUGGGAAAAAGCUGAGGUAGCAUUAAAAAAAAACCAUACCUAUCUCCUCAGCAUACAUGUACCAAUCAGCAUUUUCUUACUCUUACAUGGAAGUCAUUUAUUUCUAUCUAUAAAACCUUUAGUUUAAAAUUGGUGCCUGCCACAGCUGUGGUAUGCUAAUAAAUACUAAUAUUAAUAAUAAUACUUUUGUCUUUUUUCCUGAGUUUGCCUCAUUGACUAGGGUGAGGUCCUAACCAAGAUUUCUUUUAACACCAUGCAAAUGCUAGAUAUUAUUACAUUUUUAAAAUACAGGUUGUUACGUAGAAACUAUGCUAUAUAUAGAUUUUUGUUUUCGUCUGCAAUGUUUUCCUUUCUUUUAAAGCAAUGUAGCAAUUCAUGUAGUACUUUGCAUUUUUACCAUUCAUUUAACAAAUAAUUUAAAAAAGUCAACAAGAGUAGAAAUGUAUGUCAAAAACUAGCAAAUUAUACAGCAAAUCAAACAUAUUUGGAAAGAAAAAUGUCCUUUUAGUUGCUGAUAUGUUAUGUCAAAAUGUGGGCAUUUGGAUCAUUUUGCAAUAAGAAAAAUAUGGCAAUUGAUUAAUGUAACUUCAGGGCUGUAUUUUACAAGUCUAAAGUGAUGAUUCUGUGCUAUUUAUACUUUCCAAAGAACUUUAUUUUUUACAUUUUUGUAUUUAGACUGGCAGUAAAUGUUUUCGAUAGAAUAAAAAAUUUUCUCAUCUUGUUUUAUUCUUAUAUCACUGUAUUGUGGUUUAAUGAAAUCCAUAAUUUUUCCCUUGUUGAUAUGCCAACAAAAGACAUAAA
This is a non-coding RNA of Phascolarctos cinereus (koala), 2843 nucleotides long. NCBI's taxonomy places the organism in Eukaryota, Metazoa, Chordata, Mammalia, Diprotodontia, Phascolarctidae. The record is from RefSeq and is a predicted model, not a curated record.